UAAUCAAAAUCGGAGCGAUGCCUUUUGGGUGACGCACCGGAGUUUGGGUCAUCUUAACUCUUUUUUUUAAGAGACCUAAAAUUAACAUUCUUUUUUGCUCACUUUGAGACGUACAUAAUUUUUUUUUUAUUCGUCUACCCUGGUGGCAAAAAUUUUAUUAGAUCGUGAAUCACGUAGAGUGGACUCGCGUCUAUAAUUAUCAUGAU
Molecule: non-coding RNA, 206 nt
Organism: Rhizophagus clarus
Lineage: Eukaryota; Fungi; Glomeromycota; Glomeromycetes; Glomerales; Glomeraceae
Source: the annotation of a GenBank genome assembly